This 255-nucleotide ribosomal RNA is filed under the name uncultured bacterium. Its description in RNAcentral is "partial 16S ribosomal RNA". It matches the Rfam family "Bacterial small subunit ribosomal RNA", at positions 524 to 776 of the family's 1533-position model. The record is from RNAcentral.
UACGGGGGGGGCAAGCGUUGUUCGGAUUUACUGGGCGUAAAGGGCGCGGUAGGCGGUCAGCACAAGUCAGUUGUGAAAUCUCCGGGCUUAACUCGGAAAGGUCAACUGAUACUGUGCGACUAGAGUGCAGAAGGGGCAACUGGAAUUCUCGGUGUAGCGGUGAAAUGCGUAGAUAUCGAGAGGAACACCUGCGGCGAAGGCGGGUUGCUGGGCUGACACUGACGCUGAUGCGCGAAAGCCAGGGGAGCGAACGGG